AAAUAUUUCAAUUUUCUUUUACAAUACUAUUAAACUAUCAUUAAAAUUAUUUUUUCUUUAUAAAAUACUUAAACAUAAACUUUUAUAAUUAUUUUUAAUAAUUUAAAAUAUAAAAAAUAAAAUAUGAAUAAAUAAAAUUUAAUCAAUUUAUAUUGAUUUGCACAAAAAUCUUUUCAAUGUAAAUGAAAUACUUUACUAAAUAAGCUUUAAAUUGCAUUCUAGAUACACCUUCCGGUACAUCUACUAUGUUACGACUUAUCUUAUUUUAAUAAUAAGAGUGACGGGCGAUGUGUACAUAUUUUAGAGCUAAAAUCAAAUUAUUAAUCUAUAUAAUUUUACUAUCAAAUCCACUUUCAAUACAUUUUUCAAAUUUAUAUCCAUUUAAAUAAAUUUAUUGUAACCCAUUUCUACUUAAAUAUUAGCUACACCUUGAUCUGAUAUAUUAUUUAUUAAAUAUUAUGAAAAUUAUCUUUCUUAUAAAAUAUUCUAAUAACGACGGUAUAUAAACUGAAAACAAACUUAAGUAAGGUCCAUCGUGGAUUAUCGAUUACAGAACAGGUUCCUCUGAAUAGACUAAAAUACCGCCAAAUUUUUUAAGUUUCAAGAACAUAACUA
This 615-nucleotide ribosomal RNA is filed under the name Fannia manicata. RNAcentral's name for it is "partial 12S ribosomal RNA". Lineage: Eukaryota; Metazoa; Arthropoda; Insecta; Diptera; Fanniidae. The record is from RNAcentral.